CUCCGAUGACACACAGAUUGGUGAUCCCCCGCUUCACCAGGUUGUGGGCAGCUCGGAGUCGUCCUUCUCGCUCCCGGAAGUCCUUGCAUCGGGCACUUCCAAUCACCGUGCCUCCCUUUAGGGGAGAAACAGGAGGGCCUCACUGUGUAUCCUGGCUGGCCUGGAGAUGUAGAGUCUGUAGACCACGCUGGCCUCCCAAUCAGAGAUCUACCUGCAUCUGCCUCCAGAGUACUUGGAUUAAAGUCAUUGGCUACCA
Long non-coding RNA from Rattus norvegicus (Norway rat), 256 nucleotides. RefSeq lists it as uncharacterized. The record is from RefSeq and is a predicted model, not a curated record. NCBI's taxonomy places the organism in Eukaryota, Metazoa, Chordata, Mammalia, Rodentia, Muridae.